ACGGGUGAGUAAUACAUCGGAACGUGCCCAAUCGUGGGGGAUAACGCAGCGAAAGCUGUGCUAAUACCGCAUACGAUCUACGGAUGAAAGCAGGGGACCGCAAGGCCUUGCGCGAGUGGAGCGGCCGAUGGCAGAUUAGGUAGUUGGUGAGGUAAAGGCUCACCAAGCCGUCGAUCUGUAGCUGGUCUGAGAGGACGACCAGCCACACUGGGACUGAGACACGGCCCAGACUCCUACGGGAGGCAGCAGUGGGGAAUUUUGGACAAUGGGCGCAAGCCUGAUCCAGCAAUGCCGCGUGCAGGAUGAAGGCCUUCGGGUUGUAAACUGCUUUUGUACGGAACGAAACGGUUCUCUCUAAUACAGGGGGCUAAUGACGGUACCGUAAGAAUAAGCACCGGCUAACUACGUGCCAGCAGCCGCGGUAAUACGUAGGGUGCGAGCGUUAAUCGGAAUUACUGGGCGUAAAGCGUGCGCAGGCGGUUAUGUAAGACAGUUGUGAAAUCCCCGGGCUCAACCUGGGAAUUGCAUCUGUGACUGCAUAGCUAGAGUACGGUAGAGGGGGAUGGAAUUCCGCGUGUAGCAGU
This 584-nucleotide ribosomal RNA is filed under the name Comamonadaceae bacterium SDB-048. RNAcentral describes it as "bacterial SSU rRNA". It matches the Rfam family "Bacterial small subunit ribosomal RNA", at positions 102 to 682 of the family's 1533-position model. The record is from RNAcentral. Lineage: Bacteria; Pseudomonadati; Pseudomonadota; Betaproteobacteria; Burkholderiales; Comamonadaceae.